GACAACACUAUCGGUUGAACAUGUUAAAAUUCAAUAACAGCUCAGAACUUUAGGGAUUGUGAUAUUUCUAAUUUAUUGGUAAUAGUUUCGAAAAGUUCAUUUGCUUAAGUUUAUAAAAUUAAGUUUAGUGCUCUUGCACAAAUAUUCUUUUUAAUAAACCUCCGUCUUUGAAAUCAUCACUCCAAUCGCUUUGUAUCUGCAGACCAUCUUUAUCAUUUUCCACUGCCGAUGUCAAACAAUCAGACCGUCCUCCAGACCAAUCAAUAAUCCCAAAAGCUCCAUUUGAGUGGCAUAAACAAAAUUGGCCUGACUUUCACAUAAAUUUCCUAAGAUUAUAGUGCCCACAGAUCCGAAGAAGCCAGCAUGUCAAGUAGCAGCGAUGAUGCUUAGGUGCUGGAAAAUGGCAGACAGCAAGUGAAACUGCACACGAAACUGGGAACUGGGAUCUGGAAACUGUUUUUCCAUGGCGAUAUGCAGGGCGCCCCGGACCGAAAUCAACUUGCUACUUAUGCGUCGUCAUUGCAUAAACAAGGCACUCGACGGCAGCAGGUUUACCGGUCUGGUUUUCCCUGAGUUUUUUUCCCACUCACUGAGAAAUUGCAACAUUACGUGCCCCAGGAGCCACGUCCACUUCUCAUGCAAAGCAUGCACAAUUCUCCAGAGCUCUGGACUAAAGAUAAAUUGAUAGUAUUUUGGGGCUGACUCUGGUACCCCGACAUUUUCCUAGGUGCCUUAUUUUUUUCUCUUUUUUGGUUAGGCAAUACGCAAAUGGUGAAACUGUCCAUUAACAGAAAAGAAAUAAAAGUUAAACAAGAACAAACAGGGAAACAAUAAGGUGGACGGGCUGCAGAAAAAAAGUUGAAAUCCUUUAUUGUCCAUUGUCGGCCAUGGAGUUCUCUAUCAGAAUGCCUUAAUUAAGAACGCUCGGAGUCUGGCCAAAGAGUCAGACUUCAUUUCGAUUUUUAACAGCGCAGCUGUUACCAAAAACCCAACGAUUCCAUUCGCCUGAAAAACUCAACCCAACCAACCAGCCCCACUUCGUCCUGUCAGGGAAAAAAUGGAAACCAACAAUUUGCAGUUUACAUUUAACAGCAGAUCGAGGGGCGGUGGGGCAUGGGACACGUUAUUGGAAAAGCAGUGAAAAUUGGUUUGUUUGACGGCCCGAUGUCUGGCGGAAUAACAUAGCCCGCACCUAUACACAUACACACUCAAGCACACACAUAGCGAACGUAUAUUUUAUAUCGCAUAUAGUUACCGUCAUUGUCGAAAACUCUCGGAUAGCAGAAGAAAUUACAUCGAUAGCGGAAAAACUUUACGAUCAAGAAAAAAUAAAAGUAAAAUGAUGAGCGCCCAACCACCGAUAGACAGUCAAUCAGGACCCUUAUAUUGAGUUGCAUUUUUUGUGUCUCUUCAUAAAUUAACCGUGCUAGAGGAUUCCAAUCAUGUCGCUGCCACUGAAAGUAUUAACAAAAAAUAUGACAUAUUUUUAAUGAAUACAUA
Molecule: long non-coding RNA, 1500 nt
Organism: Drosophila simulans
Lineage: Eukaryota; Metazoa; Arthropoda; Insecta; Diptera; Drosophilidae
Exons: 3
Source: RefSeq, a predicted model, not a curated record